Molecule: ribosomal RNA, 326 nt
Filed under: uncultured eukaryote
Lineage: Eukaryota
Description: partial 18S ribosomal RNA
Rfam family: Eukaryotic small subunit ribosomal RNA
Source: RNAcentral
CCCUUAGAUGUUCUGGGCCGCACACGCGCUACACUGAAGGAGGCAGCGUGUACUCCUGGAUCGAAAGAUUGGGUAACCCGCGAAUCUCCUUCGUGCUAGGGAUUGAGGUUUGCAAUUAUCCUUCAUGAACGAGGAAUUCCCAGUAAGUGCAAGUCAUAAGCUUGCGCUGACUACGUCCCUGCCCUUUGUACACACCGCCCGUCGCUACUACCGAUUGAAUGAUUUAGUGAGGACUUCGGACUGGGACCGAUGCGGCUUUCGGGCUGCGUCGGUAUUCUGGAAAGAUGUCCAAACUGUAUCAUUUAGAGGAAGUAAAAGUCGUAACA